This 274-nucleotide ribosomal RNA is filed under the name uncultured bacterium. RNAcentral's name for it is "partial 16S ribosomal RNA". It matches the Rfam family "Bacterial small subunit ribosomal RNA", at positions 523 to 796 of the family's 1533-position model. The record is from RNAcentral.
AUACGGAGGGUGCAAGCGUUACUCGGAAUCACUGGGCGUAACGCGCGCGCAGGCGGCUAUUUAAGUUGGAUGUGAAAGCCUACGGCUCAACCGUAGAACUGCAUCCAAAACUAUUUAGCUAGAGUGUGGGAGAGGAAGAUGGAAUUAGUUGUGUAGGAGUAAAAUCCGUAGAGAUAACUAGGAAUACCAAAAGCGAAGGCAAUCUUCUGGAACACUACUGACGCUGAGGCGCGAAAGCGUGGGGAGCAAACAGGAUUAGAAACCCUUGUAGUCC